UGACCUCAAAUCAGGUAGGUUACC
This 24-nucleotide ribosomal RNA is filed under the name Lentinula edodes (shiitake mushroom). RNAcentral's name for it is "partial 28S ribosomal RNA". The record is from RNAcentral. Lineage: Eukaryota; Fungi; Basidiomycota; Agaricomycetes; Agaricales; Omphalotaceae.